Molecule: long non-coding RNA, 2583 nt
Organism: Equus caballus (horse)
Lineage: Eukaryota; Metazoa; Chordata; Mammalia; Perissodactyla; Equidae
Source: Ensembl
UGAGAGUUGACAGAUACACGUUUCUAAGUAGGAGAGUUACUCCACAGUCAGGGACAGGAGGUGGCAGAAUUCAGAACCCCAGACCUGGGCUUAGAAAUAAUAAGUGAUAGACAAACAAGUCAGAGCAGGAACUGAGGCAUAAAAGGGUUGGUAUUAGGGAUUAGAACUUGUUUCUUCACUGCUCAUUGAUCCAGACAUCAGCACAGCCUCAGGAAGCCCUGGUUUAAGUGUCUGCUCUGUUAUUUACUAAGGAUAAAAUGGGCAUGGACGACAUCGAGCCACAGUCACUCAGCACUUGACGGCCUCCUUCAGCAUUCGAGACGCUGGGGACUCACCUCAGAGCUGUGAGCGAGCCUCCCAGCAUGCAACAUCCGCAGACAGAGCAAAUAUUGAGAUUCUGUAGAGCCUAUAUUGCAAAUAUUGGAAGUUAAAUAAUUCCAUAGCCAAUAAAAAAAAGACUGGCAACCUUUCUAAUGCAAAAAGGGAAUAUGCAAUGUCACUGAGCAUGGUAUUAAAAUUGUAAUGACAGAUCAAAAAAGGGCAAGAAGCACCAAUGAUAGGAAUAAAGGGGGACAAGAAUUUAGGUAAAAUUUGUACAAAUCCAGGAUUUGAAGCCUGAUGUAAUCCAAGCAAUUUCUUUAUCUACAUAGACCAUGUUAUUGACCUCUUUCAUGUUUUCCCAGCUGGCACUGGGGAUGUUUACCACGGUGCUGGGGGGACUCGUGCUCCUUUUUGGGAGCCAGCUCCUUUUCGGUUAGAAUGGCUGCCCUGCUGCAUGGAGGGCUCAUGUCUCAGGAGCUGCCAGGCACCAAAGCUUCAUCCCUGCCCUGGCCGGCCAAUACGUCUGGCAUAGAAGUGUCAGGAAGAGUACUGUCUCCAUCCAGAUAUCCUCUUAGGAGCAAAUGGCGGACAAAUUUUCAGAAAGCUGUGGGGAGGACAGAGUUCCCACGGACUUGGAAGGGGAAUAGAGGUCUGUGCCAUCCAGAAAAGAGCAGGUGGGGCGCACUGCCGAGGGUCGCGUCCGGGAGUCGGGACUGCAGCCAUGGGGAGCCCUGGCCACGUCAGGGCAACUUGGCUGUGGCCCGCCUCACUGUCCCUCCUUGUGACCAACUAUGACUCUUAGUGGAUCUUCGAUCUCUGGGCUUCUCCUGGUCUGCAGCCUCUCUCCUGCAUAAACAGUGCAGAACUGGAAUGUUAAUAUGAAAGUUUCUGGAUGGAGGGCGGCCCUCCAGGAAAGCCCGAGGCUUCUUUACUGCCAUUGAAGAAAUGCUUUGGAUGGUAGAGAUGUGAAGGAAGGCAGCGUGAAGACAAAACCUUCACACAAAGGAGCGCCAAGCAAAGCAAGAGAACUGGAGAGAAAUGGUGCCAGAGCCCCAACUGCUCUUCACUCAGAAUCCUCAGGACCUCAGAAUUUCCUGCUAUAUGAGGAAGAGGUUGACCACAGGUGGGAAACACACCUGCAACAUAUCCAUCACAGCUGACAGAAGAAUGGAAUAAUGUGAUGCCUGGAGCCUAUCAUGCCUGGAGACCAGCAUCCCUGGACCCCCUCCUCAUUGCCCAUUUUCUCUGUAUAAUUGCCUCAAGUUUCUGUAAACCUGGAAGUUGGAUUUUUGAGACGUUAGUCACCCAUCUUCUGAUUAGCCAGCUAAUCUAAUUAAACUUCCUUUCUCAUCUCUAACUUGUGAUUAAUUGGCUCAGAUCUCGGUGAGCAGAGUGAGCCCAUUGCUUAGUAUCAAAUUCUGGCGACCCAGAGAGGACCAUAGCCUCUGCCCGUGGCUGGUUGACUUGGAGGAGGCUCUUUUGGGAUUUUUCCCUGCAUCUGCCAGGUGGCUUUUUCCGCCUGGGGAAUUUCCCUGUGGCUUCCUCGCUUGCCGACUGCCUCUAACGCUUCAGUGAUUGGGAAAGGAAGAACCGGAUCAACUAGAUCGUAAACUGAAGAGCUUACAUCUGCAGGCCAGCUAGAAAUGCAAGUGCUGCCGGAACAUCAUCUUCAUGGUUCCAGAUGGCCCUGCUAGGUGUUCAAACACCACUGCUGGACCCACUGCCAUUGGAUCUUCAAGGAGCCGACCUGAUUUGCUGGAUUGCCCGUGGGAAGAACCGGACUUGGAACUCUUCACAGUUGGCAGCAGCUUCACGGAUCAAGCCUGGUGAUCAUGUUUUGCUAAAAAUUUGGAAAGACCAGGGACCCAAAAACCAGUUGUCACCCAAACAGACAGGCCCUUCUGAGAUUCUUCUCACCGCUCACUCAUCGGUAGAACUUACAGGAACAGGCUGGCCACAGGUGGGAAACACACCUACAAUGUAUCCGUCACAGCUGAGAGAAGAAUAGAACAAUGUGAUGCCUGGAGCCCGUCAUGCCUGGAGACCAGCAUCCCUGAACCCCUUCUCAUUGCCCAUUUUCCCUAUAUAACUGCCUUGAGAUUCUGUAAACCUGGAAGAUGGGUUUUUGAGACAUUAGUCACUCAUCUUCUGAUUAGCCAGCUAAUCUAAUUAAACUUCCUUUCUCAACAUCUAACUUGUGAUUAAUUGGCUCAGAUCUCAGCAAGCAGAGGGAACCCAUUGCUCCGUAUCACUAUUUCAAUU